This 517-nucleotide ribosomal RNA is filed under the name uncultured bacterium. Its description in RNAcentral is "bacterial SSU rRNA". It matches the Rfam family "Bacterial small subunit ribosomal RNA", at positions 70 to 507 of the family's 1533-position model. The record is from RNAcentral.
GAAGAAACAACAUAGAUAGUUAAAAUAAAAUACUGAUAGAAGUUUCUUCAUCACGCGUUUAUAAAGUGCCAACACAUAACAACAAGAAGAAUUAGAGUAUUGAGUGCCAAAGAAAUCUUAGCGGCGGACGGGUGAGUAACACGUGGGCAACCUGCCUUAGAGUGGGGGAUAACACCGGGAAAUCGGUGCUAAUACCGCAUAACAUACACAAACUGCAUGGUAAGUGUAUCAAAGGAGCAAUCCGCUUUAAGAUGGGCCCGCGGCUGAUUAGCUAGUUGGUAAGGUAACGGCUUACCAAGGCGACGAUCAGUAGCCGACCUGAGAGGGUGACCGGCCACACUGGAACUGAGACACGGUCCAGACUCCUACGGGAGGCAGCAGUGGGGAAUAUUGCGCAAUGGGGGGAACCCUGACGCAGCAACGCCGCGUGGAGGAAGAAGGUCUUCGGAUUGUAAACUCCUGUCUUCUGGGACGAAGUAUGACGGUACCAGAGGAGGAAGCCACGGCUAACUACGUG